Molecule: non-coding RNA, 116 nt
Organism: Pteropus alecto (black flying fox)
Lineage: Eukaryota; Metazoa; Chordata; Mammalia; Chiroptera; Pteropodidae
Source: Rfam
GUCUACGGCGAUGCCACCCUGAACAUGCCCUAUAUGUGAUCUUGGAAACUAAGCAGGGUUGGGGCUGGUUAGUAUUUGGAUGGGAGGCCACCUAGGAAGACCAGGUGCUGCAGGUG